This 474-nucleotide ribosomal RNA is filed under the name uncultured bacterium. RNAcentral describes it as "bacterial SSU rRNA". It matches the Rfam family "Bacterial small subunit ribosomal RNA", at positions 335 to 799 of the family's 1533-position model. The record is from RNAcentral.
ACUCCUACGGGAGGCAGCAGUGGGGAAUAUUGCACAAUGGGCGCAAGCCUGAUGCAGCCAUGCCGCGUGUGUGAAGAAGGCCUUCGGGUUGUAAAGCACUUUCAGUCGUGAGGAAGGCGGGUACGUUAAUAGCGUAUUCGUUUGACGUUAGCGACAGAAGAAGCACCGGCUAACUCCGUGCCAGCAGCCGCGGUAAUACGGAGGGUGCGAGCGUUAAUCGGAAUUACUGGGCGUAAAGCGCAUGCAGGUGGUUUGUUAAGUCAGAUGUGAAAGCCCGGGGCUCAACCUCGGAAUAGCAUUUGAAACUGGCAGACUAGAGUACUGUAGAGGGGGUAGAAUUUCAGGUGUAGCGGUGAAAUGCGUAGAGAUCUGAAGGAAUACCGGUGGCGAAGGCGGCCCCCGUGGACAGAUACUGACACUCAGAUGCGAAAGCGUGGGAGCAAACAGGAUUAGAUACCCCGUGGUAGGACAGUG